Molecule: ribosomal RNA, 1243 nt
Filed under: metagenome
Description: bacterial LSU rRNA
Rfam family: Bacterial large subunit ribosomal RNA
Source: RNAcentral
UGAGUACGAGAUGCUACGGCGUCGAAGCAGUCUAGGUCAUACUUCCAAGAAAAGCUUGCACUGUCAUAAACAAAGAAUGCCUGUACCAUAACCGACACAGGUGGGUAGGUAGAGUAUACUAAGGGGCGCGAGAUAACUCUCUCUAAGGAACUCGGCAAAAUGACUCCGUAACUUCGGGAGAAGGAGUGCCUUAUUUUUAAGGUUGCAAUAACAAGAUCCAAGCAACUGUUUACCAAAAACACAGGUCUCCGCUAAGUCGUAAGACGAUGUAUGGGGGCUGACGCCUGCCCAGUGCCAGAAGGUUAAAGAAGUUGGUUAGCAUUCGCGAAGCUGAUAACUGAAGCCCUGGUGAACGGCGGCCGUAACAAUAACGGUCCUAAGGUAGCGAAAUUCCUUGUCGGGUAAGUUCCGACCCGCACGAAAGGCGUAAUGAUUUGGAUACUGUCUCGGAGAGGGGCUCGGUGAAAUAGACUUGUCUGUGAAGAUGCGGACUACCUGCACCUGGACAGAAAGACCCUAUGAAGCUUUACUGUAACUUGAGAUUGAAAUUGGACUUUAUUUGCGCAGUAUAGGUGGGAGGCGUUGAGAAUAAUCUUGCGGGAUUAUCGGAGCCAUCAGUGAGAUACCACUCUUGUAAUGUUAGAUUUCUAACUUUGUAUCAUUAUCUGGUCAAAGAACAGUUUCAGGCGGGCAGUUUGACUGGGGCGGUCGCCUCCCAAAGGGUAACGGAGGCGCACAAAGGUUUCCUCUGAACGGGUAGAAAUCGUAUCUAGAGUGUAAAGGCAUAAGGAAGCUUGACUGUGAGACCUACAAGUCGAGCAGGGACGAAAGUCGGUCUUAGUGAUCUGACGGUGCUGAGUGGAAAGGCCGUCACUCAACGGAUAAAAGUUACUCUAGGAUAACAGGCUGAUCUCCCCCAAGAGUUCACAUCGACGGGGAGGUUUGGCACCUCGAUGUCGGCUCAUCGCAUCCUGGGGCGGUAGUACGUCCCAAGGGUUGGGCUGUUCGCCCAUGAAAGCGGUACGCGAGCUGGGUUCAGAACGUCGUGAGACAGUUCGGUCCAUAUCCGGUGUAGGCGUUAGAAUAUUGAAAGGAGCCUUCUCUAGUACGAGAGGACCGAGAAGGACAUACCUCUGGUGUGCCAGUUAACGUGCCAACGGUAAACGCUGGGUAGCUAUGUAUGGAGUGGAUAACCGCUGAAAGCAUCUAAGUGGGAAGCCCACCUUAAGAUAAGUAUUCUCAU